CGGGACGUGGCGCAGUUUGGUAGCGCACUUGACUGGGGGUCAAGGGGUCGUCGGUUCAAAUCCGGCCGUCCCGACCA
RNAcentral lists this transfer RNA (77 nucleotides) under Micromonospora viridifaciens. Its description in RNAcentral is "tRNA_Pro_GGG". It matches the Rfam family "tRNA". From Rfam's summary of the family: Transfer RNA (tRNA) molecules are approximately 80 nucleotides in length. RNAcentral also lists the same sequence under 2 other names. The record is from RNAcentral. Lineage: Bacteria; Bacillati; Actinomycetota; Actinomycetes; Micromonosporales; Micromonosporaceae.